RNAcentral lists this unclassified non-coding RNA (1293 nucleotides) under uncultured fungus. Its description in RNAcentral is "sequence contains 18S rRNA gene, ITS1, 5.8S rRNA gene, ITS2, 28S rRNA gene". The stretch from base 365 to 1293 matches the Rfam family "Eukaryotic large subunit ribosomal RNA", at positions 1 to 961 of the family's 3401-position model. Lineage: Eukaryota; Fungi. The record is from RNAcentral.
GGAUGGAUCAUUCUUGUUUGUAACAACCAACCCAAGGAUACUUUGGCCUCUACCUACAAUUCCGAAACCUGUACUGAAAUAUAAAACUUUUGGCGAUGGAUGACUCGACUCUCGUAACGAGGAAGGACGCAGCAAACUGCGAUAAGCAUUAUGACUUGCGAACACUCGUGAAUCACUCGAUUUCUGAACGCAUUUGUACUCUUGGACUUGUCUUCGAGUAUGCUUGGUUCGGCAUCUAUUGGAUUUGACAUCAGUCGAUGAAUGCUCUCAGGCCUCAGCCUGUUGGCGUCUUGGAUUCAAAGCUUAUUUUCCGUGCACCUAUAGUGGUACUGUGGGUUGGGCAUAAGCUUCGAAACUUUGAUCUUGAUCCGAGCUCAAGUAAGAAAACCCGCUGAAUUUAAGCAUAUAACUAAGCGGAGGAAAAGAAACCAACAGGGAUUCCCAGAGUAGUGGCGAACGAAAUGGGAACAGCCCAGGAUGUGAAUCCAGUUUAUGCUGGAGUUGUGCAUCGUGUUAACACAAGCAAGAAGUUCCAGAUAAGAUGUCAGGAAAGGCAUGCCGCAGACGGUGAUAGUCCGGUUUGUGCUGGAAACUUCGAGUGUACUGUGUUGAUACACUGAGUCACGCUCUUUGGGAGUAGAGCGCAAAAUGGGUGGUAACCUCCAUCCACGGCUAAAUACUGACGAGAGAUCGAUAGCAAACAAGUACCGUGAGGGAAAGUUGAAAAGCACUUCGAAAGGAGAGUUAAAAUACCUGAAAUCGCCAAAAGGGAAGCGACUGUUUGUGAUCCGAUCACUGUGCGAACGAACAAACCAAACCUUUUACUUUGGGAGUGGUUAACCCCACUACCAAAGAGAAAAGAUUAAUGUUACGUCCCUUCAGUGUCACUUGGCAACACUUCGAGUUCCUUUCACACCAACAAAGUUUUACUUUGUAGGUUGUCAUUGGUUCGCGGAGUGAUGUAUGCCUUUGGAGGUUGCCAAGAGAGGCACAAACAGGCGACCCGUCUUGAAACACGGACCAAGGAGUUAAACAUGUGUGCGAGUGUAAGAGUUAAACACUCCUACGCGCAGUGAAAGCAACAACGGUAGACCUCAGUGCAACCGUGGCCGACUCUAAGUUCGAGCUUGAGCAUAUUUGUUUAGACCCGAAAGAUGGUGACCUAUACCUGGGUUGGGUGAAGCCAGGGGAAACCCUGGUGGAAGCUCGUAGCGAUACUGACGUGCAAAUCGUUCGUCGAACUUGGGCAUAGGGGCGAAAGACUAAUCGAACCGUCUAGUAGCUGGUUCCCUC